ACAAAUAAGAAAGGUUUAUGUUUUGCAAGCUUUUGUAAAAAGAAUUAUGGCUUUCUGGAUGAAUGGUUGAAGUCAUAGUGCACUUUUCCAAUUUUGAUUUGGGUGUGCAUGGCGUUUGAUCAAUUAGCAAGACGUCCAUUGCCUUUGUUGCUGUCUUUUUGGCACAAAUAUUCACACAUAAAAGGAAUCAGAUAAUGGCAAGAACUUGGUUGGCUCAAAGAUUAAGGUUUGUUCCUUGACUAUAGUUACUUUAAGUUGUUUUAAUCAAGUACCAAUAAAGUUCUGGUUUUGAUCAACUGUUUUUGUAUUAUGUUAUAUAAGAAAAUGUGUGUUGAUCACACAUUUUGUAUAUGCAAUUCUACUAUGUGGUAAUUUUGUUGAUACAUGUUAAUAAACAUUGAAACCAGUACUCUAGCAAAUUUUGAUUUAGGGUGCUGAGAAAUAAAUAUAUCCUUCCAUAGAAUAACAUAUGGAUGGAUAACAUUUGCAGC
This is a long non-coding RNA of Juglans microcarpa x Juglans regia, 491 nucleotides long. RefSeq lists it as uncharacterized. Lineage: Eukaryota; Viridiplantae; Streptophyta; Magnoliopsida; Fagales; Juglandaceae. The transcript is spliced from 2 exons. The record is from RefSeq and is a predicted model, not a curated record.